GUGCCAGCCGCCGCGGUAAUACGUAGGGGGCGAGCGUUGUCCGGAAUUACUGGGCGUAAAGGGCGGGUAGGCGGCCUGGCAAGUCGGCUGUGAAAUCCCCCGGCUUAACCGGGGAGUGGCAGUCGAAACUGUUGGGCUUGAGUGCAGGAGAGGAGGGUGGAAUUCCUGGUGUAGCGGUGAAAUGCGUAGAUAUCAGGAGGAACACCGGUGGCGAAGGCGACCUUCUGGCCUGUUACUGACGCUGAGGCGCGAAAGCCAGGGGAGCAAACAGGAUUAGAUACCCUGGUAGUCCUGGCUGUAAACGCUGGGUACUAGGUGUCGGGGGUUUAGAUACCUUCUGUGCCGCAGUUAACGCAUUAAGUACCCCGCCUGGGGAGUACGGUCGCAAGGCUGAACCUCAAAGAAAUUGGCGG
This 413-nucleotide ribosomal RNA is filed under the name uncultured bacterium. Its description in RNAcentral is "bacterial SSU rRNA". It matches the Rfam family "Bacterial small subunit ribosomal RNA", at positions 505 to 916 of the family's 1533-position model. The record is from RNAcentral.